This 252-nucleotide long non-coding RNA is filed under the name Brassica napus (rape). Its description in RNAcentral is "long non-coding RNA (BNAP_LNC012041)". The record is from RNAcentral. Lineage: Eukaryota; Viridiplantae; Streptophyta; Magnoliopsida; Brassicales; Brassicaceae.
CCCCCGCCCUCUCAAGUAGCAUCCAUGGUACAAACGUCUCUGCACCACACGCCCGCACAAGUAGCAUCGCAAGUCCAGACGUCUCUGAACCCCUGCCCGCACAAUCAAGUAGCGUCGCUAGCCCAGACAUCUCUGAGCCCCCGCCCGCGCACAUAGUCCCUACUCAUAGCUAUGUAUACAUACAUAUAUAUAUCGCAUCUCUUAACAUCACACAAUCAAAUCAACGGUUGAAUCCUCUAGACCCCUAGUUCU